Molecule: ribosomal RNA, 486 nt
Filed under: uncultured bacterium
Lineage: Bacteria
Description: partial 16S ribosomal RNA
Rfam family: Bacterial small subunit ribosomal RNA
Source: RNAcentral
AUUGAACGCUGGCGGCAUGCCUUACACAUGCAAGUCGAACGGCAGCACGGGUGCUUGCCCCUGGUGGCGAGUGGCGCACGGGUGAGUAAUACAUCGGAACAUGUCCUGUCUUGGGGGAUAGCCCGGCGAAAGCCGGAUUAAUACCGCAUUCGAUCUACGCAUGAAAGCGGGGGACCUUCGGGCCUCGCGCUUUUGGGUUGGCCGCUGGCUGAUUCGCUAGUUUGUGGGGUAAAGGCCUACCAAGGCGACGAUCAGUAGCUGGUCCGAGAGGACGACCAGCCACACUGGGACUGAGACACGGCCCAGACGCCUACGGGAGGCAGCAGUGGGGAAUGUUGGACAAUGGGCGAAAGUCUGAUCCAGCAAUGCCGCGUGUGUGAAGAAGGCCUUCGGGUUGUAAAGCACUUUUGUGCGGAAAGAAAUCCUUGGCGCUAAUACAGUCGGGGGAUGACGGUACCGGAAGAAUAAGCACCGGCUAACUACGUG